Molecule: long non-coding RNA, 375 nt
Organism: Chenopodium quinoa (quinoa)
Lineage: Eukaryota; Viridiplantae; Streptophyta; Magnoliopsida; Caryophyllales; Amaranthaceae
Exons: 2
Source: RefSeq, a predicted model, not a curated record
UGGAUUCGAUUCGCGAGGUGAACCCCGGGAUUAAUCUUGUGGUUCCUAGUACUCUGCAGCAAUUGACUCCGCAUGAUGCAUCUAGUGCACCAAAUCGAAAUACUGCCCAAAGUGGACAAUCUUCAAAAUCAUUUAAUCAGGUGGUUGAUGACGAUGAGCUACCCCGGGAUGAAUGAAGUAAGGACUAAUGUUGAUUUUAUGUAUCUAUUGCAACUUCUAGAGAGCUUUCAAAUUAAACGUUUGUUAAUUAAUUAGCUAGUGAACUUUCAUUUAUAAUUAGUUAGUAUUGACACUUCCUUUACUUUUGUAAUGCAACGAAUAUAUAUUAUAUGUACUUCGUUUAUUUUGUAAUGCAACGAAGAUAUAUUAUAUGUA